GAUGAACGCUGGCGGCGUGCCUAAUACAUGCAAGUCGAGCGAACGGACGAGAAGCUUGCUUCUCUGAUGUUAGCGGCGGACGGGUGAGUAACACGUGGAUAACCUACCUAUAAGACUGGGAUAACUUCGGGAAACCGGAGCUAAUACCGGAUGAUAUUUUGAACCGCAUGGUUCAAAAGUGAAAGACGGUCUUGCUGUCACUUAUAGAUGGAUCCGCGCUGCAUUAGCUAGUUGGUAAGGUAACGGCUUACCAAGGCAACGAUGCAUAGCCGACCUGAGAGGGUGAUCGGCCACACUGGAACUGAGACACGGUCCAGACUCCUACGGGAGGCAGCAGUAGGGAAUCUUCCGCAAUGGGCGAAAGCCUGACGGAGCAACGCCGAGUGAGUGAUGAAGGUCUUCGGAUCGUAAAACUCUGUUAUUAGGGAAGAACAUAUGUGUAAGUAACUGUGCACAUCUUGACGGUACCUAAUCAGAAAGCCACGGCUAACUACGUG
Molecule: ribosomal RNA, 497 nt
Filed under: uncultured bacterium
Lineage: Bacteria
Description: partial 16S ribosomal RNA
Rfam family: Bacterial small subunit ribosomal RNA
Source: RNAcentral